Gossypium raimondii (Peruvian cotton) is the source of this 648-nucleotide long non-coding RNA. RefSeq lists it as uncharacterized. The record is from RefSeq and is a predicted model, not a curated record. NCBI's taxonomy places the organism in Eukaryota, Viridiplantae, Streptophyta, Magnoliopsida, Malvales, Malvaceae. The transcript has 2 exons.
UUAGCACGACUCCUGAAAACACAAUCAGAAAAAGCUUCCAACUUUAAUUGUUUCUCUUUUCAAAGUUUCAAGAACUGUUCAUCUGCUUCCUUCAUCUCUUUAGAUCCCCCAUCUCUCCAAUUUUCAUGACAGAUUACUCACCCAUCAGAUCGGCAAGCUGCAUAAUCGUUCUCUCUCGACCUCCUCUUCUACAAAAAUAGACAAGGCAUCACCUUCUAUCUCCACGGUAGUGAAACCCAAAUCCAGUCCCAUUUGAAGACAUUAAAUACAAGUCAGGGCCUCUGCUGUAAAAACCGAAUUAUGUUAUCAUUGAGAACAGUUCUAGAACCCAGGACUCUUCCAUUUGCACCCUGAAUCACUAGCCCUGAAAUUUUCAAAGAACCAGGUAACCCAAUCCAGAAAACACAGAUUUUCAAAUUAGCUAAGCCAUGCACAUUGUAAUUGUCGCCAAAUCUCCUUGAUCGCAGGGCAGUCCCUAAAAGCAUGCUUUAAAGUCUCUGUUGAAUCUGCACAUUUAGAACAAACAGUUUCGUUUGAUAACCGCUUGUAAUAUAAAUUACAUAGAGUAGGGAUAUAAUUCUUCGAGCAUCUCCAGAAUGUAAUUUUCAAUUUGGUGGGUAGUUGUAGGCCCCAUAAUUUUUUGUAAAA